Triticum aestivum (bread wheat) is the source of this 5837-nucleotide long non-coding RNA. RefSeq lists it as uncharacterized. The record is from RefSeq and is a predicted model, not a curated record. Lineage: Eukaryota; Viridiplantae; Streptophyta; Magnoliopsida; Poales; Poaceae. The transcript has 5 exons.
AAAAAGAAGCAAAUUUUAAGAAAGGGCCAAAUAAAGAAUUCUCUCCAUCUAUUUCCUACGAUCCCUCAAGGACGCCCCAGCCCCCGAGACGAUCCGCCGCCGAGAUCCGAGACGAUCCGCCGCCGCCGAGGACCGAGUGGAACCGCCGCCUCCACGUCGCCGCCGGCGGCGCUGGCCAGGCUCCCCACCGAUGGGCGCGCCGGGUCGCCGCUCCUCGAGGCCAGUUCCCCUCGUUGCUCCAGAUCGCGCCUCAGUUUGUGAUCCCUUGGGGAUCCUGCCAGGCCGCCGCCGCCGAGGACUGAGUGGAGACGCCGCCUCCACGUCGUCGCCGCCGGCGCUGGCCAGGCUCCCCACCGAUGGGCGCGCCGGGUCGCCGCUCCUCGCGGCCAGUUCCCCUCGCUGCUCCAGAUCGCGUCUCGGUUUGUAAUCCCUUGGGGAUCCUGCCGGUGCUUGAGGCGUCCGCGAUGGUGCGGACUCAGGACCGAGCGGUGGGGCACAUCAUGCGUUCUGGUUGAGAGAUUGGUCUGGCUGGCGUGGGAACUGAACUGCCGUCGAUGGAUUUUUUUGGUAGCUUGGCUGCAUGUUGCUUCAGAUUUGGUACUACCCCCAUCUCUCUCUCUCUGUUUGUGUGUGUGUGGGCGUGCGCGCGAAGCAGUCGAUCUCUAAUUGCCGACUGCCGACCCAUCGCCCCAAUGGCCGUCGCAUCAGUUCCAUACCGCUACAGCACUGCCAGCCACCGUCGUUGUAUUGCCUUGGAUUCAGUUGUGGCUUCGGCUGGAACGGUGUUGUCUGAUGCCCUGGUCCAAGCGGGUUUGGUCCGCUGAUGCCAGGUAUGAGAUGCUCUUGAGACUGAUCGCUCCAUGUGGGCAUGCGUGUAAUGGGUAUCAUGGUCUGUAGAGGCAACCUUUUUUGGGUAGAAAAAUGAGGGGUGAUGAUGAUGAUCAAGAUAGUCGUGUUGUAUGGGUACUAAAUAGACCCUGAAUGGGUGACCAUGUUCGGGUUGCCCUUACAGCCCACACUUACCUCUCUUGCAGCCUGUUCAAUUCAUCGCCAAUGUUGGAUUAUCUGUCCACGGUCGUUCUGACAAGUGCAAACCAUGGCAGUUCUCUUACACUGUGAUGGGUAGAUUAUGCAGCAAAAGAUGUGAGUGUUGGGCUUGAGAUGAAAGACAAAACUGAGUCCUCUUUUGCUACACUACAGAUACUCAUUGUUUCACAGUUGAGUUGCAUUUUGUUUUGGAUUUGGUACAAUCGUCAUCACACUCUCUUUCUCAAACACUAAACCAAAUCAGUUGCAUUACAUUUUACCUCAAAUCUUUGUCUAUAGUCACUUAUAGGAUUAGAAGUUUGAAUGAGCACAAUCUGUAUUAAACAGUAUCUGCCCUUAUUGUUUUUGACAUGAAAAUGAUGUUUGCUUUACAUUGAGCAACCACCUUAUGUCCUUUAAUAUGUAAUUGCAGGUAGUACAUUGUAGAUGCUGAUCCAAAAUGCAUAGAAACAUGGGUAGAGAUGGGAACUAUCAAAGCAAUUGGAACUAUCUGGGACGAACAGCGUCAUCAUCUUAUACUGCUAACAUGAUUGACCGAUCUAGGAGAUACUUAUGAGCUUCUGAAGCUCGAUUGUUCAGAUUAUCAUGGGCGAGAUGACAAUGAAGAGCCUGAUAUAGUAAGUGUCGAUCUUCUGAUCUUGGCAUAUAGCAAGUGUUUAGCUUCAUAAAUGAGUUCUGUAGUAUGUGCCUUUCUUCUCCAUAACUGGAUGAAACAUAUGAUUCAGAGGUCGAGGUCCUCUAAAUGGAAUUUGCAGACAUUAUCCUCAAUAAUUCAAUUUGUACCAAACUUGAUGGGUAACUUUAUUUUAAUAUUCUGCUGGCCGUCAUUUGCUCUAUUUGUUUAUUUAUUUUCCUAGCAACUAUGUGCUGUUACAAGCUUCAUUCUGAAUUUUGAUGUAAAUCUCAUGUUCCUAGGUCCACCAUGACAUCAAUGCACCAUUGUCCCGCUAUUUCAUUACACCGGACAGUAAUCAUAUUUUACUGGCAAUCAGCUAAUCAGUGACUAUAGUGAUGUUCUCAUCAUCAAGGCACUGCAAAUAGGUGUUUGUGUAAUUAAAUUAGACAUGUGGCCAAAUUCUUCUAAAGAUGACACUGAUAUUCUCCAUCAAAGUACUGAAUAUGACUUCCGCUGACAGUACUCAUAGUUAUGCUUCCGUUACUGAAAUCUUCAUGAGUGUGGAUCCUAUAUGAUUCUCUUCAUAUAAAAUACUACUAUUUUGGGAAAGGCAUCUAGCUGAGUUUUAAUGAAACUCUUGAGCGAAAAAUAUUUCUAACGGUGUUAGAACGACAACUGACAAGGACUGCCACGAUUAGAGCUACCAUUUGGCCCCAUGUUUCAGUAUGCAGUCAAGCAUGCAAUAAAGAUCGAAGAAGUAGAAUACUCCCUCCGAUCCAAAUUACUUGUCGUUGAAAUAGAUGCAUCUAUAAUUGACAUACAUCUAAGAUACAUCCAUUUCAGCAACAAGUAAUACGGAUUGGAGGGAGUAUCAAUUUUGCUGUGUUGAAGUCGUUAUGGAGGUGACAAGGAAUCUAUAUUGCUCUGUAGAUGACGACAUUGUGCAUUGCAAUAUAUAUUGCUCUGUAGAAAAAUACAUUUAUGUGGAGUAUGCUUCAGAUUCAGUGGUAAUGUAAUUUUGGUCGGGCAGGGGUUUGUGAAGAAAACUAGCAAGGUUCAUAGAUGCACCCAGGUGGAAUGUUUACUUUCCAAAUGUCAAGUAUUUAAAAAAAAUUAGACAUAUAAAUGUCUGAGUCCUUUGUGUGCUUGUCAAAUAUCAUGCAAAAAUGAUAAGGAGGACGAGGUUAUGAGGUAAUGUGCUCGGGCGGGAGGAAGAGGUACUGGUUCAAACCAUGAAAGUUCUUAGCUCAUAAUUGCUACCAAUUCUACAGAAAAGGUUGUGACUUUGUUAACCUGACUAGAGCUUUCAUGUUAUGUCAGUCCUUUAUUUAGAUGAUUUAGCUGUUGACCUACCGUUCCUUUCUAGAUGAUUACUUGCAGUUCUUUUACUAAGGCAGUGCAUCUAGGGUUUCUUUACUUGCUCACUGACCAUUCAGUUCAAUGACGGCCAAUGCGGUAGAAUCGAGGCUGCAACUCUAGCACUUCAAAGAGGAAAAGAAAACAUGACUACUUCAUGGCGAGAGAAGAGGAGGGCAGCGAGGAGCGAACAUGGGGAUGGGUGGCUGGGGCGUUUCUUGCACGAGGAUGGGGAAAUUGGAGUUAUCCAAGACCGGAAAUGUCCCUGUUGCUCUUAGGAAGGAUACUUUAUUUUUCAGUCAUUUGCUAUUACUCCAAGUAAGAACUGCGAUUUUGCAAAGAGUAAGCCAUUUCUUGUGAAUCUUGUAAGUUUCUGCAUUUUGUAGUUCAAGAGCUCCUGGUUUGGUUUGGCCUCGAUCCAAACACGUUGUUAGACUUUCAGUCCAUGGGCUCGGUAAAUCGAGAUCGAGAGAUGUCGUAGACUUUCAACCCAUGGCCUCAGUAGAUCGAGAGAGGGAGAGAGUAGUUAGGUGGCGGCGGCGGCUCCGGAGCACGAGUGCGACAGCGGCAACAGAGCAUGAGCGGGCAUGGACUGGGGACUAGAACAUGGAUGUGGAAGAUGGAGCGACAUCUGUGGUGCGACACCGUGUGGCGGUUGUCCGAGGUGUUGUCGAUGUGGAGCGGUGCCAUUUGGACUGAAGCCUAGCAUCCUAAGAUGGCAGGCUGGUGUCAACGCCGCUAGGGGUGGUGCCGAUGGAGGCGCUGGGACGAGGUAGCGAUGUAGGGGUCGAGAGUAGCUGUUGUAUGUGUGUGUGUCCCCUCCAUUGAUUUGUGACCAAGCCCACGGGAAAUCUAGCCAGCAACUGGUAGUGUCUUUCUGAAUUGUGGAGUCUUUCGCUGAGGCCAUGCAUUGAGAAGGUGAACUUCUGAUGCAUCUAUCAUCCAUGGGCUAAAAAUUGAAUUAUCAACAAGUAUGAUGAUAGCCAGUGUUACUGUGAUCUCCAAAGAACAAUAACUAUGCAACAUAGUGCUGAACUUUGACAUUUUCGUUUUGUUAUAAAUUUCCUUUUAAUAUUUCGUAAUUUAUUUAAUUAAUCUUUCUAUUAAUAUUUGGUUUCACUAUAGUAAAUUUAUUUGAAGGUCUCCAUGAUGGCAUAAUUCAAUGUAGAUUGAUGUGUCGAUUAUUUUGUCAUGCAUUUAUUUGCCCAACAUUACCUAGAUACUUAGUGCCAUUACAAUGACAUCCUGUUUUAUUUCAGAAAGUGAUUGCUCCAUCACAUACACAUUAAAAGAAAUUGCACAACUGCACCAUGGCUAUCCAGUAUAUCAAGCAAGAUUAAUCUAAACAUACCUUACAACAUCUCAUUACUCCCAUCGAGGUAAUCUAAACAUGUUCUUAAUGGCGACAAAUUUGAGCAGAAGAUAUUCUUAAUGGCAACAAGUAACUAAUUCUUUCGUUUCUAUGGAAUAUGUAAAUUCAUAUGCAGGUAAGCAGGUUAAUCUAAACAUGCCUUACAGUAUCCCAUUACUCUUGUUGAAGUUUUAUACUGUUAGAUUUCACCUUUGUUUGUAUUAAAUAUCUGAAGUAACGGAGCUUGAUUUUCAGUUUUGAUUUUUCACUCACUUCAUAGCCAACAUUACAGUGGUAUAUGUUGUAUGUAUUUCAGCACUAUACUUUUCCCUCGGUCUAUAUAGUUACUGUUACUUGCCUAAAAGACCGGGAAUUUUCGUUGUUCCGUUUCAACAACACGGUAUAAAUCUAAAUAGUUACUAUUACCUGAGGACAACUUGUCUUCCCCAACAUGGGAUUUCUUGUUAACUCUACUCAUCUUCGAUGUUUAUACAUGAUUGGCAAGUGUCAGCAACUUAUCGUGUUCACUUUUGGUUAGCAAAGGUUUUGAUAUAACAGUCAGAUAUUUAUGUUUGGGAUUAGCUCAUAGGUUAGACUCUGGGUUCCCUUCCCCUCUGUCGAUUGCUCCAGCAGCGAGAGGGUGGGGGAGCCCCUGUUCUCUGCUUUGGUGUGUAUAUAGGGUGUGUGGGUUGGUUUCUAGCUGGCAGCGCUCAGGAGGCAGAUGUGCUGCCGAUGCGAAUAAAAUUGGUGUUGUUCCUUUCCCUAUGCGUUGUCAUCCUUUGGGCCUUGACGGGGUGUGUGCAGAUUGGUGUCUCGGGAUCCGUUGGACCUGUCGAGCUUUGGUGUUUCUGGGUAUGGCCAUCGCGAUGGAGAAGGUUGCCAUGCCGUGGAGAUUUCGUCUCCUGGCUUCGUCCCCAUGGUGGCUGGGCGUGCUUCAUCCCUCAUCAUGGAGCCUAGGAGUCAUGUUCAGGAGUUGGAGCGGCGCCAGAUCUCCCCAUGUCUCGUCCUUAGUGGUUCUUCAUCAUGUUGCAUCUCCGGUGUGCUGGUCCGACUGGACCGAGGUUGACGACUUCCUGGCUGCAAAGAACCUGUCUACACUCCACAAGAUCAUGCCGGCAAAAUGUAGAGCGGCGCCUGAUCUCCCCAUGCCUCGUCCUCGGUGCUUCUUUGUCAUGUUGCACCUUCGGUGUGAUGGUUCUACUGGACAGGGGUUAACGACUUCCCGGUCGCGAAGAAUCCGUCCGCACUCUACAAGGUAACGUCGGCUCCAUGUUGGAGCGGGAGCGCGCCUUGAGCCCGCAUCUGAGUUUGUUGUAUCUGAGUUUGCGGUGGGUCGAAGCCCCAAGGACUUGAUUGUGAUUUGUGUUUUCUCUAGGGUGCUUAUACCACUGGUGUUCUUUAAUAUAUGACCUGGGUCUUCUCCACAAGAAAGGGUGAUAUCUAUCAUUUGUAAUGCAUUGCACACUA